RNAcentral lists this ribosomal RNA (253 nucleotides) under uncultured bacterium. Its description in RNAcentral is "partial 16S ribosomal RNA". It matches the Rfam family "Bacterial small subunit ribosomal RNA", at positions 524 to 776 of the family's 1533-position model. The record is from RNAcentral.
GACGUAGGAUGCAAGCGUUGUCCGGAUUUAUUGGGCGUAAAGAGUUCGUAGGUGGUUCGUUAAGUCUGAUGUUAAAGACCGGGGCUCAACUUCGGGACUGCAUUGGAUACUGGCGGACUUGAGUGUGGUAGGGGCAAUCGGAAUUCCAGGUGUAGCGGUGAAAUGCGCAGAUAUCAGGAGGAACACCGGUGGCGAAGGCGGAUCUCUGGGCCUUACCUGACGCUGAGGCGCGAAAGCUAGGGGAGCAAACAGG